GAUGAACGCUGGCGGCGUGCUUAACACAUGCAAGUCGAACGAUCAAGCCCAGCUUGCUGUGUGCAGUCGUGGCGAACGGGUGAGUAACACGCGCGUAACCUGCCCUUCUCUCUGGGUUAAGCCAGGGCAACUGGGUCUAAUACCGGACAGGUGCUUUCACCGCACGCUUGGUUUUGUAAAGAUUUACCGGUUUUCGAUCGAUGCGCGGCCAAUCAGCUAGUUGGUGAGGAAUUGGUUCACUAAGGGGUCGCCGGGUAGCCGGCACGUGAGGGGCAACGGCGACCCUGGGACUGAGAGACGGCCCAGAAGGCUACGGGAGGCAGCAGGGGGGAAUAUUGCAGAAUGGGCGCAAGCCUGAGGCAGAGACGCCGCGUGAGGGAUGAUGGCCUUCGGGGUGUAAACCUCUGUCUGUGGGGAAGAAGAGAAAGUGACGGUACCUGCAGAAGAAGCACCGGCUAACUACGUG
RNAcentral lists this ribosomal RNA (466 nucleotides) under uncultured bacterium. RNAcentral's name for it is "partial 16S ribosomal RNA". It matches the Rfam family "Bacterial small subunit ribosomal RNA", at positions 28 to 507 of the family's 1533-position model. The record is from RNAcentral.